RNAcentral lists this ribosomal RNA (859 nucleotides) under uncultured Flavobacteriaceae bacterium. RNAcentral describes it as "bacterial SSU rRNA". It matches the Rfam family "Bacterial small subunit ribosomal RNA", at positions 38 to 887 of the family's 1533-position model. Lineage: Bacteria; Pseudomonadati; Bacteroidota; Flavobacteriia; Flavobacteriales; Flavobacteriaceae. The record is from RNAcentral.
AGCGGCAGGCUUAACACAUGCAAGUCGAGGGGUAACAGAGAGUGCUUGCACUCUGCUGACGACCGGCGCACGGGUGAGUAACGCGUAUGCAACCUACCUUUUACAGGGGAAUAGCCCAGAGAAAUUUGGAUUAAUACCCCAUAUUAUCUUUUUUUCGCAUGAAAUAAGGAUGAAAGUUUCGACGGUAAAAGAUGGGCAUGCGUCCUAUUAGUUUGUUGGUAAGGUAAUGGCUUACCAAGACUUCGAUAGGUAGGGGCCCUGAGAGGGGGACCCCCCACACUGGUACUGAGACACGGACCAGACUCCUACGGGAGGCAGCAGUGAGGAAUAUUGGACAAUGGAGGAAACUCUGAUCCAGCCAUGCCGCGUGCAGGAUGAAUGCCCUAUGGGUUGUAAACUGCUUUUGUACAGGAAGAAACAUUUCCACGUGUGGGAACUUGACGGUACUGUAAGAAUAAGGAUCGGCUAACUCCGUGCCAGCAGCCGCGGUAAUACGGAGGAUCCAAGCGUUAUCCGGAAUUAUUGGGUUUAAAGGGUCCGUAGGUGGUUAUUUAAGUCAGAGGUGAAAUCCUGCCGCUUAACGGUAGAACUGCCUUUGAUACUGAUUAACUUGAGUUAUUGUGAAGUAGUUAGAAUAUGUAGUGUAGCGGUGAAAUGCAUAGAUAUUACAUAGAAUACCGAUUGCGAAGGCAGAUUACUAACAAUAUACUGACACUGAGGGACGAAAGCGUGGGUAGCGAACAGGAUUAGAUACCCUGGUAGUCCACGCCGUAAACGAUGGUCACUAGCUGUUUGAUUAACAUUGGUUAAUUAAGUGGCUAAGCGAAAGUGAUAAGUGACCCACCUGGGGAGUACGCUC